This 285-nucleotide unclassified non-coding RNA is filed under the name uncultured fungus. Its description in RNAcentral is "sequence contains ITS2". The stretch from base 1 to 52 matches the Rfam family "5.8S ribosomal RNA", at positions 103 to 154 of the family's 154-position model. Lineage: Eukaryota; Fungi. The record is from RNAcentral.
AACGCACCUUGCGCUCCUUGGUUUUCCAAGGAGCAUGCCUGUUUGAGUGCCCAGAAAUACACUCAACUCAAAACUUGUGUUUGGGUUGGAAGGUGGGGGACUUGCCUUGCUCAUUUUGACAAGGCUCCCUUCAAAUGUGUUAGCUGGCCUGACAUGCCGGUCUGCCCCUGGCUUGAUAGUUGUCGAUGCCAUUGGGUGACCUUGGCUGGGCUGCUUCCAGUUGUCCUCUGGGACAAUCUUUGACCCCCGGGCCUCAAAUCAGGUAGGACUACCCGCUGAACUUAA